RNAcentral lists this microRNA precursor (122 nucleotides) under Arabidopsis thaliana (thale cress). Its description in RNAcentral is "microRNA MIR405". It matches the Rfam family "MIR405 microRNA precursor family". Lineage: Eukaryota; Viridiplantae; Streptophyta; Magnoliopsida; Brassicales; Brassicaceae. The record is from RNAcentral. RNAcentral also lists the same sequence under 2 other names.
UUAACUCAUUUAACAACUCAACCCAUUAAAUUAAAUGAGUUAUGGGUUGAGCCAACCCAUUUAACAAAAUGAGUUGGGUCAACCCAUAACUCAUUUAACCCUAAACUCAUUUGAUUAUGAGU